AUUAACCCGAUGGCGAGUGAUUUUCGAACCAAUGCUAACAGCAUGGGAAGCAUCCUGAAUUCGGCGUUGUGCAAGCCCGCCCUGAGUGGGAAGCCUGAACCGAUUCAUCCGCCCCCCACUUGAACCUCAGGGUUCAAAAUCCAUGCCUGUCGGGCUACCU
This 160-nucleotide non-coding RNA is filed under the name Legionella drancourtii LLAP12. RNAcentral's name for it is "6S / SsrS RNA". It matches the Rfam family "6S / SsrS RNA". From Rfam's summary of the family: E. coli 6S RNA was the first non coding RNA to be sequenced, but its function was unknown until recently. It consists of 184 nucleotides that fold into an extended hairpin structure with a large single-stranded internal bulge. The 6S RNA specifically associates with RNA polymerase holoenzyme containing the sigma70 specificity factor. The record is from Rfam by way of RNAcentral. Lineage: Bacteria; Pseudomonadati; Pseudomonadota; Gammaproteobacteria; Legionellales; Legionellaceae.